This 2052-nucleotide small RNA is filed under the name Pongo abelii (Sumatran orangutan). RNAcentral's name for it is "retained intron". Lineage: Eukaryota; Metazoa; Chordata; Mammalia; Primates; Hominidae. The record is from RNAcentral.
GCGCAGGGAUUGGCGGGACUGCGCGGCGGCGACAACAGACAUGUCGGGGGUCAGGGGCCUGUCGCGGCUGCUGAGCGCUCGGCGCCUGGCGCUGGCCAAGGCGUGGCCAACAGUGUUGCAAACAGGAGCCCGAGGUUUUCACUUCACUGUUGAUGGGAACAAGAGGGCAUCCGCUAAAGUUUCAGAUUCCAUUUCUGCUCAGUAUCCAGUAGUGGAUCAUGAAUUUGAUGCAGUGGUGGUAGGCGCUGGAGGGGCAGGCUUGCGAGCUGCAUUUGGCCUUUCCGAGGCAGGGUUUAAUACAGCAUGUGUUACCAAGCUGUUUCCUACCAGGUCACACACUGUUGCAGCGCAGGGAGGAAUCAAUGCUGCUCUGGGGAACAUGGAGGAGGACAACUGGAGGUGGCAUUUCUACGACACCGUGAAGGGCUCCGACUGGCUGGGGGACCAGGAUGCCAUCCACUACAUGACGGAGCAGGCCCCUGCUGCCGUGGUCGAGCUAGAAAAUUAUGGCAUGCCGUUUAGCAGAACUGAAGAUGGGAAGAUUUAUCAGCGUGCAUUUGGUGGACAGAGCCUCAAGUUUGGAAAGGGCGGGCAGGCCCAUCGGUGCUGCUGUGUGGCUGAUCGGACUGGCCACUCACUAUUGCACACCUUAUAUGGAAGGUCUCUGCGAUAUGAUACCAGCUAUUUUGUGGAGUAUUUUGCCUUGGAUCUCCUGAUGGAGAAUGGGGAGUGCCGUGGUGUCAUCGCACUGUGCAUAGAGGACGGCUCCAUCCAUCGCAUAAGAGCAAAGAACACUGUUGUUGCCACAGGAGGCUACGGGCGCACCUACUUCAGCUGCACGUCUGCCCACACCAGCACUGGCGAUGGCACGGCCAUGAUCACCAGGGCAGGCCUCCCUUGCCAGGACCUAGAGUUUGUUCAGUUCCACCCCACAGGCAUAUAUGGUGCUGGUUGUCUCAUUACGGAAGGAUGUCGUGGAGAGGGAGGCAUUCUCAUUAACAGUCAAGGUGAAAGGUUUAUGGAGCGAUACGCCCCCGUCGCGAAGGACCUGGCGUCUAGAGAUGUGGUGUCUCGUUCGAUGACUCUGGAGAUCCGAGAAGGAAGAGGCUGUGGCCCUGAGAAAGAUCAUGUCUACCUGCAGCUGCACCACCUACCUCCAGAGCAGCUGGCCACACGCCUGCCUGGCAUUUCAGAGACAGCCAUGAUCUUCGCUGGCGUGGAUGUCACGAAGGAGCCGAUCCCUGUCCUCCCCACCGUGCAUUAUAACAUGGGCGGCAUUCCCACCAACUACAAGGGGCAGGUCCUGAGGCACGUGAAUGGCCAGGAUCAGAUUGUGCCCGGCCUGUACGCCUGUGGGGAGGCCGCCUGUGCCUCGGUACAUGGUGCCAACCGCCUCGGGGCAAACUCGCUCUUGGACCUGGUUGUCUUUGGUCGGGCAUGUGCCCUGAGCAUUGAAGAGUCAUGCAGACCUGUCAAUGCAAAAUCAUGCUGCCGUGUUCCGUGUGGGAAGCGUGUUGCAGGAAGGUUGUGGGAAAAUCAGCAAGCUCUAUGGAGACCUAAAGCACCUGAAGACGUUCGACCGGGGAAUGGUCUGGAACACGGACCUGGUGGAGACCCUGGAGCUGCAGAACCUGAUGCUGUGUGCGCUGCAGACCAUCUAUGGAGCAGAGGCGCGGAAGGAGUCACGGGGUGCGCACGCCAGGGAAGACUACAAGGUGGGCCUUCUCACCACGCCCACCUGCACCUGCCUUUUCCUGCCACCUGGUGGGACUCAACCACACCCAUGCAUUUUCUCUGCAUUUUAUUUCGUUUCCCCAAAAGUAAAUCCAAAAAAUGCCCUUUUCCCCCUGGUAACUUCGAUCCCUGGGUUCUCGCCAUCUUCUGGAUCACUGUGACCUUUUCCUUGCUUUGGGUCAGCGUCCACUGAUGCCAGCAGUGGCAUCUCCAAGCCAACGUGCUUUGCUGUUAGAAGGCCACGGUUAGAAGUGCAGCCAGAGUGGCAUGACCAGGAAAUAAAUGCCAGUUUAUUAAAUAACGAGUAAGCCACCGUUU